CUGUUUCUGAGCUGUCUAAAAGGAAGGUAGGAAAUGCACAUACUUAUGGAUGCAGAGCCAACGCCUACUUAGACUUCAAGUUAAAAAAAAAAAACAAAAACGGAAUCUUUUGGGGUCAGGACCAAGAUGGUGACAUAGUAGGUUCCCAAGCUUAUUUCCUCCUACAAAUGUGCAGAAUGUACAGCUACCCAUGGAACAAUUCCUUCCGAAAGAAAUCCGAAAACUACCUGAGUGACCACUACACAUCAAACACAUGAGAAAAUGCAAUGAAACAGACCACUAAAUUUUCAAGACCAGAAUACAAAGUAAAAGUCCAAUUAUGUCAAGGGAAAAAUAGAAGUUUAAAGAAAAGAACUGAAUCCGGACUUUUUAAAAGAAAAUCUGUAAUUAAAUGACAUAUAAAAGUGGAAGAAUAUUACAAGAAGAGAGAGAACAGCUAAAUGGAUGACAUACAGAAGUGAGAAACACCCUUGCUGGAAAUGGAACAGAAUCUGGUGCAGCUCAAGUGCAGACUCACAUCAAAUAGCCUGGAGGUGAAAUCAAAAU
Molecule: long non-coding RNA, 546 nt
Organism: Canis lupus familiaris (dog)
Lineage: Eukaryota; Metazoa; Chordata; Mammalia; Carnivora; Canidae
Exons: 4
Source: RefSeq, a predicted model, not a curated record